RNAcentral lists this transfer RNA (65 nucleotides) under Planorbella pilsbryi. RNAcentral describes it as "tRNA-Met". The record is from RNAcentral. Lineage: Eukaryota; Metazoa; Mollusca; Gastropoda; Planorbidae.
UUAAAGAUAAGCUAUAUUACAAGCUAUUGGGCUCAUAACUCAAAUAAGAACUUUUUCUCUUUAAA